GUGUGAGUCACCUCCUCACGUUCUCCUCCAAGAAGGGACCACAUUCCUGCAUGGUUGCCCCUGGGAAGAGGUGCCGGAUGCCACCUUGCCCCAGCAAGCACGUGUGUCACCAUGGAAUCACAGAGGCCUUUGGGUUGGAAGGAAAGUGAAGCUGAUCUCAUUCCAACCCCUGCCAUGGGCAGGGAGACUUCCACUAUUCCAGGUUGAUCCAAGCCCCAUCCAACCUAGCCUUGGACACUUCCAGGGAUCCAGGGGCAGCCACAGCUUCUCUGGGCAGUCUGCACCAGGGCCUCCCCACCCUCACAGGGAACAAUUCCUUCCCAAUAUCCCAUCUAACCCAACUCUCUGUCAGUCUGAAGCCAUUCCCCCUUGUCCUGUCUCUCCACAUGGGAGCGCAUCCAUGGAAGAGUUCCAGAGGCUCCAAGCAAACCCUUUCCAGGCAGAUCCCUGACUCGCAGGCUGACCUGCAGCACGCGAGGCAUUAACCAGCAGUAAGGGGAUCCCGCCGUGACUCAUCCUCACGGAUCUGACAAACCCUUGAUCCCAUUGAUAAAAGCCCGGAGGGUUCUGGCUCCCGGCCAAAUGCCUCCACUUCAUUCAUGGAAAAGAGGGACAGGGAGGGAAACGGGCUGGGCUCGGGUCCAGGGAACAGAAGCGCAGGCAGAUCUGGCCAUUGCACAGAGUCCUCCUAUAGCCAUGGAUGGAGGCCAGGGGCAUGGGAAGGAGCUGCAGCCAGCCCUGCACAAGGAGGCUCCGGCCAGGAAACAGCAAGACAGCAGAGUCCUGGGCCAGAAACACACCCUGGGGGAGGGAGGAGGAGCAGACCCUUCAGGAAAGCCCUGUUCCUAGGAAAGGUCAUGUCCUUCUGGACAAAUCCCUCCAGUGGCACCAUUAACCUGAGCAGUGUGGUUUUUCCCAGUAGGAUCUAGAGCCAAGCUCCAGUCUUAAACACCAGCAAGACCUCAGCAGCAGGACAGAUCCUUCCAGUGUUGGAAAUUACUUAUGUUUCUCACGGCUUUUUCCUAAUUGCUGCUGGAGAUAAAAAGUUUAAAACAGAUGCCUGUUGUCCUAUCACAAUCUGCCUGUGUUAAAAGUCCCUCUUCAUCUUUUUUUAUAAACACUCCUUUAAGAUGAAGUGAAUUCCAGGUGAGACCAGCUCCUUUUCCCUUCUUUCCACUUUGGACAGUGCUAUAUCCUUCUUCCAGAAAAGCCUGCCCAUCAGACAGCAUUGCUUGGCAUUUCACAUCCAUCUUACACAGAAAUAUUAAACAAA
Vidua chalybeata is the source of this 1273-nucleotide long non-coding RNA. RefSeq lists it as uncharacterized. The record is from RefSeq and is a predicted model, not a curated record. NCBI's taxonomy places the organism in Eukaryota, Metazoa, Chordata, Aves, Passeriformes, Viduidae. The transcript is spliced from 3 exons.